GUCCUACGGGGGGCUGCAGUGGGGAAUUUUCCGCAAUGGGCGAAAGCCUGACGGAGCAAGACCGCGUGGGGGAAGAAGGCUCUUGGGUUGUAAACUCCUUUUCUCUGGGAAGAACAAAAUGACGGUACCAGAGGAAUCAGCAUCGGCUAACUCCGUGCCAGCAGCCGCGGUAAGACGGAGGAUGCAAGCGUUAUCCGGAAUGAUUGGGCGUAAAGCGUCCGCAGGUGGCAGUUCAAGUCUGCUGUCAAAGACCGGGGCUUAACCUCGGAAAGGCAGUGGAAACUGAACAGCUAGAGUAUGGUAGGGGCAAAGGGAAUUCCUGGUGUAGCGGUGAAAUGCGUAGAGAUCAGGAAGAACAUCGGUGGCGAAGGCGCUUUGCUGGACCAUAACUGACACUCAGGGACGAAAGCUAGGGGAGCGAAUGGGAUUAGAUACCCCAGUAGUCAGA
Molecule: ribosomal RNA, 448 nt
Filed under: uncultured bacterium
Lineage: Bacteria
Description: bacterial SSU rRNA
Rfam family: Bacterial small subunit ribosomal RNA
Source: RNAcentral